UUUUUGCAUUGGUAUCACGGGUAUCACGGGAAAUCUCUGUUUCUUGUUACAUGUGCUCUCAAAAUGAAUGAAAAGUAAAGGUACUGAGGUGACCGAGGCUAUGAGGGCACUACCUCCCGGUAGUGAUGAGGUCGUUGCUUUGGCUGUGACGGAGGAGCUGUCUACUGAGGUGACUCCCUUCGCUAGCCAGGACCCCGUCCGCCCUGUUGUAGAUGUUGCGGUAAUCCCAGAGGAUACGCCCGCCGCUGACGUCGAAGGCUGCAAGAAAGAGCAUCAUAAUGCAGUUAACUGAAUUCUGUUAUGAAGCAGGAAAGGGACAUCAAACAACAGUGGACAAGAUUUUAUUAUGAAGCAAAAAAAGGGACAUCAGAGUGCAGUGGACGAGAUUUUUUUAAGAAGGAAGAAAGGAAUAUUAAAAUGCAGUGGACUGGAUUUAAUUAUGAAUCGAGAAAAGGAACAAAGUGCAGUAAAUGGAAUUUUAUUAUGAAAUGCAAGGAAGGGACAUCAAAGUGCAAUGGACUGGAGAAUGUUGCUUCAAAAGAUUGGCAGAGUUGCUCUUUGCAGUAGAGGAAUAUCAAAGUGCAAUCGACUGGGUUUAACAUAAACAAGAAAGGAUUAUCAAAGUGUUAUGAAUUAAACUGUUUCAGGACAGAAAUAAACAACAUCAAAUUCUAAUUGACUGGAUUUUCUUGGGAAGGAUAGAAAGAACAUGAGGAAGGAACAUAAAAGUGCAAUUGAUUCAGUUUUAUUAUGGAGAAAGGAAGAAACAUCAAAGUGCAAUCGACUUGGAUUUUAUUUAAGUGCAGUGGACGGACUGGAUUUUCUCAGAGUGAAGAGAGGAUAUCUUGAUGUUAAUGUGACCCAUAAAAGUGACUAUUUUCAUUUGUAGUGUUAAAAGUGAAAAAAUAAGAUAAAAAUGUUAAUCAUUGGAAUUGAUACUUUUUGUGGGGGUGGGAAUCUCUGUCCUGUGUAUACCAUUUCUUCCCAUUCAUCCUAUAAAAUUGAAUUUUUCAUGACAUCCAUUAUGGAUAGAAACUAUAUCUGAAGUGGAAUAAUUAUUAAAUCUGGAACCACGCUUGUACAGUUUUUUUCGGAAGUUACACUCUCGCGAUAUUUUGAAAAGAAUUUUUUAAAGGUAAUUAUGUUUUUCUCUUUCUUACAUAUUUGCUGAAUUACAAGAGUAAUUUAUAUUUCUUGUUGCCAUGCUUAUUUACAGUACUUAUACCAGUUCAUUUUCAUUCAGUUUGAGCUGCAAGGUGAAGCAGGAAAAUGGUGUCAAGUUUGAAGGCAAGCCAAAGAUGCAGUCCUGGAUUUUCCUUGGAAAAGUAUGAAGAAUGUCUGUGAAAAAAGUGACUGUGUUCAUUUGCAGUGUUUAAAGUGAAGAAAGAACAAAAAAGUUUAAGACAGCAAAAGAAGACCAUCGAACUUAAAUAGAUUAUAUCACUUUGUAUGAAAGAGCAUUAUUAUGCAGUGAACUGGAAUUUAUUAUGAAGCAAGAAAGGGACAUCAAAGUGCAGUGGACAGGAAUUUAUUAUGAAUCAAGAAAUGAAUAUUAAAGUGCAGAGGACUGGAUUGAAUUAUGACACAAGAAAGGAACAUCAAAGUACAGUGAAUGGAAUUUUAUUAUGAAGAAAGGAAGAGACAUCAAAGUGCAAUGGACUGGAGACUACUUGGGAGAAGAUGUUGCUUCAAAAGAUUGGCAGAGUUGCUUUUUGCUACAGGUGCAAAGCCCUGACAGAUUCCUUUACUAUUGAUUGAGACAUGCUAACGUUGCCUUCGAGGACAAUCCGGUGUCUAUAUGUCCGCUAGAUUGUGGCGUUUUUUGGAGCGACUGGUCUGCAACAUUGUGCCGGCAAUGUUAAGAUGAUGGUUGUUCCUCUCUGUUUUGAGAGAUGGAAUCAGGGAUUGUGAGGAUUUGCAUUUCUUCCAUAUCAACUGACUGCCAAUGACAACUGACUUUAUGUCACGUUUAUAUGUACAGUCAGUGAUCAAUUAGACUUUAUUAUGAAGCAGUAGAGGAAUAUCAAAGUGCAAUUAACUGGAUUUAACAUAAAGCAAGGAAGUAUUAUCAAAGUGUUAUGAAUUAAAUUGUUUCAGGACAAGAAGAAACAACAUCCAAUUCUAAUUGACAGGAUUUUCUCAGGAAGAAAAGAAAGAACAUGAGGAAGGAACAUAAAAGUGCAAUUAAUUCAAUUUUAUUAUGGAGCAAGGAAGAAACAUCAAAGUGCAAUCGACUUGGAUUUUAUUUAAGUGCAGUGGACGGACUGGAUUUUCUCAGAGUGAAGAGAGGAUAUCUUAAUGUUAAUGUGACCCAUAAAAGUGACUGUAUUCAUUUGUAGUGUUAAAAGUGAAAAAAUAACAUAAAAAUGUUAAUCAUUGGAAUUGAUACUUUUUGUGGGGGUGGGAAUCUCUGUCCUGUGUAUACCAUUUCUUCCCAUUCAUCCUAAUUUCAUCCUGACCCUGCCCAUCCCAUCCCUGAUUGGUUACCCAGAUAUGAUUGUACAUAUAAUAUAUAAUAUAACAUAUAUUUGAAUUAAAAUAUAGAUGUAGAGCAUGGCCACGAAAUAAACAGAGAAAGAUGUGUAUAAAUCAAUUUACUAUGAAAUAUGUUGGUGUGAAAUCAUGUCUUAUUCAUGCAAUUGACACUUUCUAUAUUUACACUAUAUGAAGUGGUAAAAGUACACUUCUUUAUAAGCAAAUGUAUGUAUGUAUAUGAUAAAAAAAGGUCGAAAACUUGAAUUUUUCAAGACAUUCAUAAUUUUAUUAUGGAUAGAAACUAUUAUCUGAAGUGGAAUAAUUAUUAAAUCUGGAACCACGCUUGUACAGUUUUUUUCGGAAGUUACACUCUCGCGAUAUUUUGAAAAGAAUUUUUUAAAGGUAAUUAUGUUUUUCUCUUUCUUACAUAUUGCUGAAUUACAAGAGUAAUUUAUAUUUCUUGUUGCCAUGCUUAUUUACAGUACUUAUACCAGUUCAUUUUCAUUCAGUUUGAGCUGCAAGGUGAAGCAGGAAAAUGGUGUCAAGUUUGAAGGCAAGCCAAAGAUGCAGUCCUGGAUUUUCCUUGGAAAAGUAUGAAGAAUGUGAAAAAAGUGACUGUGUUCAUUUGCAGUGUUUAAAGUGAAGAAAGAACAAAAAAGUUUAAGACAGCAAAAGAAGACCAUCGAACUUAAAUAGAUUAUAUCACUUUGUAUGAAAGAGCAUUAUUAUGCAGUGAACUGGAAUUUAUUAUGAAGCAAGAAAGGGACAUCAAAGUGCAGUGGACAGGAAUUUAUUAUGAAUCAAGAAAUGAAUAUUAAAGUGCAGAGGACUGGAUUGAAUUAUGACACAAGAAAGGAACAUCAAAGUACAGUGAAUGGAAUUUUAUUAUGAAGAAAGGAAGAGACAUCAAAGUGCAAUGGACUGGAGACUACUUGGGAGAAGAUGUUGCUUCAAAAGAUUGGCAGAGUUGCUUUUUGCUACAGGUGCAAAGCCCUGACAGAUUCCUUUACUAUUGAUUGAGACAUGCUAACGUUGCCUUCGAGGACAAUCCGGUGUCUAUAUGUCCGCUAGAUUGUGGCGUUUUUUGGAGCGACUGGUCUGCAACAUUGUGCCGGCAAUGUUAAGAUGAUGGUUGUUCCUCUCUGUUUUGAGAGAUGGAAUCAGGGAUUGUGAGGAUUUGCAUUUCUUCCAUAUCAACUGACUGCCAAUGACAACUGACUUUAUGUCACGUUUAUAUGUACAGUCAGUGAUCAAUUAGACUUUAUUAUGAAGCAGUAGAGGAAUAUCAAAGUGCAAUUAACUGGAUUUAACAUAAAGCAAGGAAGUAUUAUCAAAGUGUUAUGAAUUAAAUUGUUUCAGGACAAGAAGAAACAACAUCCAAUUCUAAUUGACAGGAUUUUCUCAGGAAGAAAAGAAAGAACAUGAGGAAGGAACAUAAAAGUGCAAUUAAUUCAAUUUUAUUAUGGAGCAAGGAAGAAACAUCAAAGUGCAAUCGACUUGGAUUUUAUGUAAGUGCAGUGGACGGACUGGAUUUUCUCAGAGUGAAGAGAGGAUAUCUUAAUGUUAAUGUGACCCAUAAAAGUGACUGUAUUCAUUUGUAGUGUUAAAAGUGAAAAAAUAACAUAAAAAUGUUAAUCAUUGGAAUUGAUACUUUUUGUGGGGGUGGGAAUCUCUGUCCUGUGUAUACCAUUUCUUUCCAUUCAUCCUAAUUUCAUCCUGACCCUGCCCAUCCCAUCCCUGAUUGGUUACCCAGAUAUGAUUGUACAUAUAAUAUAUAAUAUAACAUAUAUUUGAAUUAAAAUAUAAAUGUAGAGCAUGGCCACGAAAUAAACAGAGAAAAGAUGUGUAUAAAUCAAUUUAAUAUGAAAUGUCUUGGUGUGAAAUCAUGUCUUAUUCAUGCAGUUGACACUUUCUGUAUUCACACUUUAUAUAAAGUAGUGUAAGUACACUUCUUUAUAAGCAGAUGUAUGUAUAUGGUUGAAAAAACAUGAAUUUUUCGGGACGUUCAUAAUACAAAUGUAUUAUUUUGGAUACAGUCUAUUAUCUGAAGUGGAAUAAUUAUUAAAUCUGGAACCACGCUUGUACAGCUUUUUUGGAAGUUGCACUCUCGCGUUAUUUUGAAAAAUACGGAAUAAGAAUUGUAUAAAAGGUAAUAUUUUUCUGCUUGGUACAUAUAUGCAGAAUUACUAAUUUAUAUUUCUUUUUGCCAUGCUUAUUUACAGAACUUAUACCAGUCCAUUUUUUCUUCAGUUUGAGCUGCAAGUUGAAGCAGGAAAAUGGUGUCAAGGCAGGCCAAAGAAGCAGUACUGGAUUUUCCCCGGAAAAGUAUGAAGAAUGUCUGUGAAAAAAGUGACUGUGUUCAUUUGUAGUGUUUUAAGUGAAGAAAGAACGUAAAAAGUUUAAGGCAGCAAAAGAACAAACAUAUCACUUUGCAAGAAAGAGCAUCAUUAUGCAGUUAACUGGAUUUUAUUAUGAAGCAAGAAUGGGAUAUCACAAAGCAGUGGACUGAAUUUUAUUAUGAAGUAAGAAAAGAAUAUCAAAAUUCAUUUGACUGAAUUAUAUUAUGAAGCAAGAAAUGAAUAUCAAAGUGCAGUGGACAGGACUUUAUGAAGAAAGGAAGAGACAUCCAUGAAACAAGGAAAGAUCAUUUAAAUGUUAUGAUUUAUAUGGUAUCAGGACAGGAAGAAACAACAUCAAUUCUGAUUGACUGGAUUUUCUCAGGAAGAAAAGAAAGAACAUAAGGAAGGAACAUUAAAGUGCAAUUGAUUCAAUUUUAUUAUGGAGAAAGGAAGAAACAUCAAAGUGCAAUCGACUUGGAUUUUAUUUAAGUGCAGUGGACGGACUGGAUUUUCUCAGAAUGAAGAGAGGAUAUUCUGAUGUACAUGUGACCCAUAAAAGUGACUGUAUUCAUUUAUAGUAUUUAAAGUGAAGAAAUAACAGAAAAAUGUUAAUUUUUAGAAUUGAUACUUUUGUGGGGGUGGGAAUCUCUGUCCUGUCUAUACCAUUUAUUCCAAUUCAUCCUAUCCUAUUCCAACUUGACCCUGCCCAUCCCAUUCCUGAUUGGUUACCCAGAUAUGAUUGUAUAAAUAAUACAUAAUAUAGCAUACUUGAAUUAAAAUAUUAAUGUGGAGCAUGGCCAAAAAAUAAGCAGAGAAAAGAUGUGUAUAAAUCAAUUUAAUAUGAAAUAUGUUAGUGUGAAAUCAUGUCUUAUUCAUCCAAUUGACACUUUCUAUAGUCACACAUUAUAUAAAGUGUUAAUAGUACACUUCUUUAUAAGUAGAUAUAUGUAUAUGAUAGAAAAGGUUGAAAACACCUAUUUUUCAAGACAUUCAUAAUUUUAUUAUGGAUAGAAACUAUUAUCUGAAGUGGAAUAAUUAUUAAAUCUGGAACCAUACUUGUACAGUUUUCAGAAGUUACACUCCAACGAUAUUUUGAAAAGUCUGGAAAAAGAAUUGUUUGAAAGGUAAUAUGUUUUCUGCUUGGUACAUAUAUGCAGAAUUACAGGAGUAAUUUAUAUUUCUUGUUGCCAUGCUUAUUUACAGUACUUAUACCAGUCCAAUUUUUUUUUUCAGUUUGAGCUGCAAGUUGAAGCAGGAAAAUGGUGUCAAGUGUCAAGGCAAGCCAAAGAAGCAGUACUGAAUUUUCCCCAGAAAAGUAUGAAGAAUGUCUGUGAAUAGAGUGACUGUGUUCAUUUGUAGUAUUUAAAGUGAAGAAAGAACAUAAAAAUUUUAAUCAUUGGAAUUGAUACUUUUUGUGGGGGUGGGAAUCUGUGUCCUUUGUAGUCCAGUUCCUUCCCAUCAGUCCUAACCCCAUUUCAUCUUGACCCGGCCCAUCCCAUUCCUGAUUUGUAAUCCAGAUAUGAAUGUACAAAUAAUAUAUAUCAUUUGAAUUAAAAUAUUAAUAUAGAGCAUGCCCACAAAAUAAGCAGAAAGAUGUAUAUAGAUGAAUAUUAAUAUAGAGCAUGGCCACAAAAUAAGCAGAGAGAUGUAUAUAGAUGAAUUUAAUAUGAAAUAUGUUAGUAUGAAAAUAUGUCUUAUGCAUGCAAUUGACACAUACAAUAGUAACACUUUAUAAGAAUUGAUAAAAGUACACUUCCUUGUAAGUAAAUAUAUGUAUAUGAUAGAAAAGGUUGAAAACAUGAGUUUUUGGAAAUGUUUAUAAUAUUGUUAUGGAUUCAGUCUAUUAUCUUAUAUGGAAAUAGAGAAAAGUGGAAACUUCACAGGUCGCUCAACACGACAAAAACGAAAAUGUUGCAGGCUAGGUUUGAUUGAGCCUGUUCAUGGACGGUAGUGGAAAUGCAUGCUACCGUCCACGCCCUCUAGCCCCGGGUUGAGCAGAACUCAACAUUUACACAUGCUAAAAGUACAAAAAGCAAUAAUUAUUGAAUCUGGAACCACUCUUGUAGAGUAUGGGAACAAAAUAAGCAGAGAAUGGAUUUGUAUAAAUGAAUUCAAUAUGAAAUAAUUGUUCAUGUGAAAAUAUGUCUUAUUAAUGCAAUGAACAUUUGCUAUAGUUAAACUUGAUUAGAAGUGGUAAAAGUACAUUUCUUUGUAAAAAUGUAUAUAUGAUAGAAAAGGUCAAUAGACUGCCAAUGACAACUGACUAUGUAUAUGUAUAGUCAGCGAUUGAUUGGACUUUAUUAUGAAGCAGAAAAGGAAUAUAAAAGUGCAAUAGAAAGGAUUUAAUAUGAAGCAAGGAAAGAUAAUCUAAAUGUUAUAAAAAGUGACAUAAUUAAAAAUGUUAAUUAUUUGAAUUGAUACUUUUGUGGGGGUGGGAAUCUCUGUCCUGUCUAUACCAUUUAUUCCGAUUCAUCCUAUCCAAUUCCAACUUGACCCUGCCCAUCCCAUUUCUGAUUGGUUACCAAGAUAUGAUUGUAUAAAUAAUACAUAAUAUAGCAUACUUGAAUUAAAAUAUUAACCUGGAGCAUAGCCAAAAAAUAAGCAGAGAAAAAAUGUGUAUAAAUCAAUUUAAUAUGAAAUAUGUUAGUGUGAAAUCAUGUCUUAUUCAUCCAAUUGACACUUUCUAUAUUCACACGUUAUAUGAAGUGUUAAUAGUACACUUCUUUAUAAGUAGAUGUAUGUAUAUGAUAGAAAAGGUUGAAAACAUGAAUUUUUCAUGACAUUCUUAAUAUUAUUAUAAAUAGUUUAUUAUCUGAAGUGGAAUAGUUAUUCAAUCUGGAACCACACUUGUACAGUUUUCAGAAGUUACGCUCCAACGAUAUUUUGAAAAGUCUGGAAAAAGAAUUGUUUGAAAGGUAAUAUGUUAUUCUACUUGGUACAUAUAUGCAGAAUUACAGGAGUAAUUUAUAUUUCUUGUUGCCGUGCUUAUUUAAAGUACUUAUACCAGUCCAUUUUUCUUCAGUUUGAGCUGCAAGUUGAAGCAGGAAAAUGGUGUCCAGUGUCAAGGCAAGCCAAAGAAGCAGUACUGGAUUUCCCCCAGAAAAGUAUGAAGAAUGUCUGUGAAAAAAGUGACUGUGUUCAUUUGUAGUAUUUAAAGUGAAGAAAGAACAUAAAAAUUUUAAUCAUUGGAAUUGAUACUUUUUGUUGGGGUGGGAAUCUGUGUCCUUUGUAGUCCAGUUCCUUCCCAUCAGUCCUUACCCCAUUUCAUCUUGACCUGGCCCAUCCCAUUCCUGAUUUGUAAUCCAGAUAUGUCUGUACAAAUAAUAUAUAUCAUAUUUGAAUUAAAAUAUUAAUAUAGAGCAUGGCCACAAAAUAAGCAGGGAGAUGUGUAUAGAUGAAUUUAAGAGAUGUGUAUAGAUGAAUUUAAUAUGAAAUAUGUUAGUAUGAAAAUAUGUCUUAUGCAUGCAAUUGUCACAUACAAUAGUAACACUUUAUAAGAAUUGAUAAAAGUACACUUCUUUGUAAGUAAAUAUAUGUAUAUGAUAGAAAAGGUUGAAAACAUGAGUUUUUGGGAGACAUUUAUAAUAUUGUUACGGAUUCAGUCUAUUAUCUUAAAUGGAAUAAUUAUUGAAUCUGGAACCACUCUUGUGUAGAGCAUGGGAACAAAAUAAGCAGAGUAUGGAUUUGGUGUAAAUUCAAUAUGAAAUAAUUGUUCAUGUGAAAAUAUGUCUUAUUAAUGCAAUGAACAUUAAAUUUUGCUAUAGUUAAACUUGAUUAGAAGUGGUAAAAGUACAUUUCUUUGUAAAAAUGUAUAUAUGAUAGAAAAGGUCAAUAGACUGCCAAUGACAGCUGACUAUGUCCCAUUCAUAUGUAUAGUCAGCGAUUGAUUGGACUUUAUUAUGAAACAGAAAAGGAAUAUAAAAGUGCAAAAGAAAGGAUUGAAUACGAAGCAAGGAAAGAUCAUCUAAAUGUUAUAAAAAAGUGACAUAAUUAAAAAUGUUAAUUAUUAGAAUUGAUACUUUUGUCGGGGUGGGAAUCUGUCCUGUCUAUACCAUUUAUUCCGAUUCAUCCUAUCCAAGUCCAACUUGACCCUGCCCAUCCCAUUUCUGAUUGGUUACCCAGAUAUGAUUGUAUAAAUAAUACAUAAUAUAGCAUACUUGAAUUAAAAUAUUAAUGUGGAGCAUGGCCAAAAAAUAAGCAGAGAAAAGAUGUGUAUAAAUCAAUUUAAUAUGAAAUAUGUUAGUGUGAAAUCAUGUCUUAUUCAUCCAAUUGACACUUUCUAUAUUCACACAUUAUAAUUAUGAAGUGUUAAUUGUACACUUCUUUAUAAGUAGAUGUAUGUAUAUGAUAGAAAAGGUUGAAAACAUGAAUUUUUCGAGACAUUCUUAAUAUUAUUAUAAAUAGUUUAUUAUCUGAAGUGGAAUAGUUAUUCAAUCUGGAACCACACUUGUACAGUUUUCAGAAGUUACGCUCCAACAAUAUUUUGAAAAGUCUGGAAAAAGAAUUGUUUGAAAGGUAAUAUGUUAUUCUACUUGGUACAUAUAUGCAGAAUUACAGGAAUAAUUUAUAUUUCUUGUUGCCAUGCUUAUUUAAAGUACUUAUACCAGUCCAUUUUUUCUUCAGUUUGAGCUGCAGUUUCAAGCAGGAAAAUGGUGUCAAAUGUCAAGGCAAGCCAAAGAAGCAGUACUGGAUUUCCCUCAGAAAAGUAUGAAGAAUGUCUGUGAAAAAAGUGACUGUGUUCAUUUGUAGUAUUUAAAGUGAAAAAAGAACAUACAAAACUUAAUCAUUGGAAUUGUUACUUUUUGUGGGGGUGGGAAUCUGUGUCCUUUGUAGUCCAGUUCCUUCCCAUCAGUCCUAACCCCAUUUCAUCUUGACCCAACCCAUCCCAUUCCUGAUUUGUAUUGCAGAUAUGAAUGUACAAAUAAUAUAUAUCAUAUUUGAAUUAAAAUAUUAAUAUAGAGCAUGGCCACAAAAUAAGCAGAGAGAUGUGUAUAGAUGAAUUUAAUAUGAAAUAUGUCAGUAUGAAAAUAUGUCUUAUGCAUGCAAUUGUCCCAUACAAUAGGAACACUUCAUAAGAAUUGUUAAAAGUACACUUCUUUGUAAGUAAAUAUAUGUAUAUGAUAGAAAAGGUUGAAAACAUUAGUUUUUGGGAGAUGUUUAUAUAUUGUUACGGAUUCAGUCUAUUAUCUUAAAUGGAAUAAUUAUUGAAUCUGGAAACACUCUUGUGUAGAGCAUGGGAACAAAAUAAGCAGAGUAUGGAUUUGGUAUAAAUUCAAUAUGAAAUAAUUGUUCAUGUGAAAAUAUGUCUUAUUAAUGCAAUGAACAUUUGCUAUAGAUAAACUUGAUUUGAAGUGGUAAAAGUACAUUUCUUUGUUGUGGGGGUGGGAAUCACUGUCCUGACUAUUCCAGAUCCUUCCCAUUCAUACAAAUAAUAUAUAAUAUAACAUACCUGAAUGACAGUAUUAAUGUAGAACAUAGUUGCAUUAAAAGCAGAGAUAAAUUUGAUAUGAAAUAUUUUUGUGUGAAAAUGUCAUAUUCGUGUAGUUGACACUUUUCGACACUUUCUAUAGUCACACUUUAUAAGAAGUGGUAAAAGUAUACUUCUGUAUAAUGUAUAUAUGUUUAUAUAGUGUUUAGAGUGAAGAAAGAACAUAAAAUGUUAAUAAUUGAAAUUAAUACUUUGUAGGGGAUGGGAACAUUGUCCAGUCUAUUCCAGUUCCUUCCCAUUCAUGCCUAUCCUAAGCCAAUCUGACCCAUUCCAUCCCAUUUCUGAUGGUAACUUGUGUAUGAUAGUACAAAUAAUAUAUAAUAUAGCAUAUUAGAAUUAAAAUAUUAAUGUUGAGCAUGGCCCAAAUAAAUGAAGAGAAAAUAUGUGUAUAAAUAGAAUAAUUAUGAAUAUGUUUUAUUCGUGCAAUUGACACUUUCUAUGGUAACACUUAUAAGAAGUGGUAAAAGUACACUUCUUUAUAUGUAGAGAAAAGAUUAAAAACAUUUGUUUUUCGAGCUGUUCAUAAUAUUAUUAUGGAAACAGUCUUAUUACCUAAAGACAAAAAGACAAAUGAUUUCUUAAUCUGGAACCACACUUGCAUGAGCAAAUGAAGGUUCAUGUACAGUUGUUGAAAGUUACAUUCUUGCUGUAUUUUGAGAAGUAUGGAAAAAGAAUUGUUUGAUAGGUAAAAUAUUAUUAUGGAAACAGUCUAUUACCUAAAGACAAAAAGACAAAUGAUUCCUAAAUCUGGAACCACACUUGCAUGAGCAAAUGAAGGUUCAUGUACAGUUGUUGAAAGUUACAUUCUUGCUGUAUUUUGAGAAGUAUGGAAAAAGAAUUGUUUGAUAGGUAAAAUACUGUUCUGUGUUUCAGUCAUAUUUGCUGAAUUUGCUGACCAUUGUUGAAGUUGUGGAUUUUCCCUGGGAAAGAAUGAAGAAUGUUUUCAAGAAGAGACUGUAUUCAUUUGUAGUGUUUGAAGUGACGAAAGAAUUACAAAUUGGUACUUACUAGAAUUUUUUUUUUGUGGAGUUGGGAAUCACUGUCCUGUCUAUUCCUGUUCCUCCCCAUUCUGUCUUGUCCCAUCCCGACCUGGCCCAUCCAUUCCUGAUUGAUAAUCCAGAAGUCUUUGUAAAUAGAACAUGUUGCAUAUUUGAAUGGAUUUGUAUACUGAAAAAAAACCAAAGACAAAUAUCAAACAGGGAAUGCCACGCACCAAAAAGUAGUGUUUUAGAAUAUGGCCACAAAAUAUGCUGAAAAAAAGACAGUGUAUAAAAAAUAUUAAUACCAAAUAUGUUAGUGUGAAAAUGUGUUUUAUUUAUGCUAUGGAUACUUAGUUUAGUUUAUUAUUGUAUAAAAAUAAAGUGUGUUUCAGGAAAGUAUAAUUUAUAAGUCUAUACGAUUUUUGUCAAACAUAUGGAUACAGUUAUACAGUAUUAUACAGGAUAUAAGAUAGAAUAAAUAUUAAACCAGGAAUGACAUUUGUAGCAGUAUGUAACGGAAAAACUUGGUCUGUUGGGUUUAUAAACAUCGAAUGUAACAACAUGACAAGUCUCUUACAUUAUACUGUUUCUAGAGACAGAAGACAAAAGAUGUUGAAUGUGACAGCUGGAAAUGUAAGAGUAGGCUACAAGACUGAUUUCCAAACCAAAUGAUAGGCACUGGUAUGUAUUGUUGUUUAUAAUGAUAUCUAAUGUUGUGUAUAAAAGGUUUCAUUGAUAUGUUGAUCUGUUACACACAGGUAAAUGUCAACUUCUCCACUCAAAUUAGAGGUGGAGGAUGAUUGAUCUGGACUUUAGCUUGAGGAUUUAACUAAUGUAUUCCAUGUAACUUUUACCAUGAUUUUAGAUGCCUAAGUUCCAAAACAUCAACACUUAUUAGCAGAAACACCCAUGGAUGAAGAAUCAGACUGGUUAAUCGGCGGAUGGUGAAAAUUGUCACAUGCUGCAAGAAAGAGAGAUAAAACCCCUCACACCACCAGCACCAACUCGGACAGAUGGUAUCUCAACAUAUAGUAGAUUCACGGUGAUACAUCGUAGAGCAGAUAUAGCUGGUCAACUUAUACAAGAAUGUUGAGACAUCGAUAGUUGGUUUCCUGUGAAGAAGAAUGUAUAAUGUAACACCUGCAGCUAGAGUAUUCGGAGAAAGGAAUCAGCUCAAAGAACAUUGGAGGGGUCUGAUGACAAUAUUGAUACAGGUUACGAAGGUCAAUUAUCAACCUCACUUGGUCAAGUUCUGUAACUCUUACAUGUAUUUUGAGCAAAUUAUGCCCCCUUUUGGACUUAGAAAAUUCUGGUAAAAGUUUUACAUGCAAGUUACUAUCUUAUUACUAUAUUACUUACUUGAGUAUAAUGUUGCACUGCAAGCUUAAAUUGUGUGAUUAAUUUUUUUUUUCUCUCGUUCAAUUUCUUUCUUGUUUUUUUCUUUUUCUAGGUCAAUUAUCAACCUCACUUGGUCAAGUUCUGUAACUCUUACAUGUAUUUUGAGCAAAUUAUGCCCCCUUUUGGACUUAGAAAAUUCUGGUGAUCUACAACAUGAUUCUACAACUGCCAAUGAACUUCAGUAGAAGAGCUGGAGGGGAAUGGAGUGAGCAGAUUGCAGUACAGUCAAACCUGUCUAUAAAGACCACCCUUGGGAGAGUCAAAAUGUGGUCUUUAUUGGGAGGUGGUCAUUAUUCACAGGUUAAAAAUACACUGUUAAUGUUAAAAUGGGAAACAAAACAUGUGUUCUUUAGAGCCAGGUGGUCUCUGUUCAGAGGUGGUCUUUAAGACAGGUUUGACUGUAUACACAUCAGUGGAAGUGGAACAGGCAGAUUUCAAUAUAUACAACAUCAGUGGGAAAAGCGCAAUGAAGUUCAGCUGUUUCCAGCUUGAAACACAUGGAAUCUUCAGAAGCACAUAAUGACAUGGUCGACAUUAUGGAAGUUCAUGGAGUAUGCCCCUGGCCAGACAGAUCUUCAUCUCUUAGAGGUUGAAGUUGCAAGUAGAGACUGACAAUGACUGGACAGACAAUGAUAAUGGUGAAGAGCUACUUUGGAAAACUUUUAAUAAUGGCCAUUAACUUGCAGUCAUUGAUUCCAGUAUUCCAGUCAGUGUAUUCCUCUCCACACAAGAAGCAAUACCAGGAAAUAUGUGGCAUUCAUCAGCCAGGUAGUCAUUUACCCCAAGUGGCAAAGUUAGAGACAGCCUGACACUGAAAUACCCAUUCUUGGAAAAGGAGCAGAAUAUUUUGUGCUGUGGACACUGCAGAAGGGUGAAUGUGCUGUGGACACUGCAGAAGGGUGAAUGUUCUGUGGACACUGCAGAAGGGUGAAUGUGCUGUGGACACUGCAGAAGGGUGAAUGUGCUGUGGACACUGCAGAAGGGUGAAUUUGACAGUUUUAACUUCUCACACCUUCUAUAUGAGUAAGGUGUAUGAUACAGUAGGAAAGUUGUCAAGAGUGUCGUUAGCCAUUGGACAUGUGGUACAUACAAUUAGUGGUGGAGAAAUGGACCUGGUCAGACAGUUGGACAAUAAAUGUGUAUGAAACGAUCACCAUGGUGCUUGUCUAAUGGAAAGGGUUAACUUUAAAGCAGGACUUGCUCUGUCAUUCGCGGGGAAAAACACGAAAUGGAGACGAUCACUUACCAGCACAGUUGACUUUAGAAGUCAGGAAUUGGCCAAAAAGGAUGUUGAUACUGAUACAACUUCAUCGUAGCAACUUCAGUCAUACAGAUUUAUCACUAUUGACCUAGAAACCAUUGACCUAAUUCAAUAUGGGAAGAUGCCACAUGUCACACAAAGCCGCAUACCACAACAAAUCGUUGUAGCACAGAUAUCUGUGUCACACCUAAAAAGGAAAUUUCACCAGAGGCACAAAGGAUCACCAGGAUUGCAUGGAAUAUUCAGACUCAAUGAUGAUAAAAAGCACAAAGUCCAACACAUUUGUACCUGAAAUUAAGUUGACUGUAGUGAAAUUGUGUACUUGGCUUGAAAAGAUCCUAAAGCGAUUUUGGUAGCCCGUUUUGGAAGACAGUUUGAUUUUCCAGUUCUUGUUUCAGCUCUACUGUGCACAAAAAUAACUAGGACAUUAUUCAGCUGAGUUUCUUCUAAAAAGUAUUCUUUUACCAGUGUUCAAGAAACUGUACCCUAAACAGUCAUACUUGCUAUGACACUACUUGGUAUUCGGUACAAUGCCUAUAACUGACAGAAAGACAAAUUUACUAUGAAAAACUGGGAAGGCCUGCCAAGGGUUUUCAUAUGUUAAAGAAAAAUUUCAAGCAAUGACCUAUUCUCAUGAUGAAUUUGGUACCAUAAUGUUCAUUAUCUUAAUAUCUUAAGUAAAAAAUGACAGUUGUAAUUGGAAAUUCGAAUUGUGUUAUUUUACUCUAUAUUUAAGAAAAUUAAUAUAUUCAGACUUGUAAUUUUUUUCAUUUGUUAAAAUGUUAUAUUAUAGCUUUAAGCCUUAAUACCCUCUUUUUACAAUUUGCCUAAAGAAACACUUUAGUUGUACUUGUUUAUUAUUUAGCCAUUUCCUUGAUGAAAAAUACACAACAGACUUCUAGCUCAAGACUUUCCAAGGUUGACAAGUUAUUACUUUCUUUGAUUUUGCUUAAGUUUGAUAAUUAUUGUUAAAUACUUUUGUUCAAAAUUUAAUAAGGUGUAUAAUGUUAUAUUUUAAUAGUAAGGAGAAGACAACCUGUACUGUAAGCUAUGUAAGCUAAUAUAGCUUUCUGUCCAAUGCCUGAAAUGUUUAGUGAUUGUCCUGUUCGUCCGUUUGUUCCUCCGUCUGUCCGUCAGUACGAGGUUAACCAAAUGGGACCGUUUCAUCUAGCAUCAAUACCCCUUACUAGAAUGACUUGAUACUAAUACAGAUGUAAACUGUGACCAUUCCUCAUCUUCAAACAUCACCUGACCUCAGUUUGACCUUGACUUUGUUUUGGACUUGGGUGCAGAAUCUAUCGACAAGGAUGCCACUGGGGGCAUCAAGCGUUUAUUGAACGCAGCUUCUUGUUUGUAAAUAUUUCAUGACUUUCUGAAUAAAAAUGUUUAAAUUAAAACCAUAAGUAAAGUAUAUAAACCCCAAACUUUUAAAGAGCAAGAAGACAAAAUUUCAGUCCAACUCGUGUAUAAAAUUAACUUUGUGAUAUUUUUCUUAGUAAUAAGUAGACAUUUGAUUUUAUAUCUGUAUAGAUUUUUGUACAGUUAAUUCAGGUGUAUACAAGACAAUAUUUGUAAAGAUUUUUUUAUGUUUUAAGCUACCUAAUUAUUUAUAUUAGAGAAAACUGUUAAAUUUUAAUUACUUUAUAAGUGUACGUGUAUAAGUGCAACCUCUGAAGAGCAACACCCUUUGGGAGAUACAAAUAUUGACUGUUGUGUGGAGGUUGUUGUUCUUGAGAGGUAAAUUUGAUUAUAUAUUUCAGCUUAGGGAAAUUUUGAUGGCGUUGUUAUAGAGAGGUUUUUGCUUAAGAGAGGACCGCUCUGAAGAGGUUGUACUAUACUUAUAUAUUAUUGAGCUUUAGGGACUCCAUUGGAAAUA
Mercenaria mercenaria is the source of this 15817-nucleotide RNA transcript. RefSeq lists it as uncharacterized. The transcript has 14 exons. The record is from RefSeq and is a predicted model, not a curated record. NCBI's taxonomy places the organism in Eukaryota, Metazoa, Mollusca, Bivalvia, Venerida, Veneridae.